This 253-nucleotide ribosomal RNA is filed under the name uncultured bacterium. RNAcentral describes it as "partial 16S ribosomal RNA". It matches the Rfam family "Bacterial small subunit ribosomal RNA", at positions 524 to 776 of the family's 1533-position model. The record is from RNAcentral.
GACGAGUCUCACGAACGUUAUUCGGAAUUACUGGGCUUAAAGGGUGCGCAGGCGGCCGUGUGUGUCAGGUGUGAAAGCCCGGGGCUUAACCCCGGAAUUGCGCCUGAAACUACAUGGCUAGAGCAUUGGAGAGGGUAGCGGAAUUCACGGUGUAGCAGUGAAAUGCGCAGAUAUCGUGAGGAACACCAGAGGCGAAGGCGGCUACCUGGACAAUUGCUGACGCUCAGGCACGAAAGCGUGGGGAGCAAAAGGG